UGCGCCCCCUGGCAUUCCGGGGGGCAUGCCUGUCCGAGCGUCAUUGCUGCCCAUCAAGCCCGGCUUGUGUGUUGGGUCGUCGUCCCCCCCGGGGGACGGGCCCGAAAGGCAGCGGCGGCACCGUGUCCGGUCCU
Molecule: ribosomal RNA, 134 nt
Filed under: Aspergillus versicolor
Lineage: Eukaryota; Fungi; Ascomycota; Eurotiomycetes; Eurotiales; Aspergillaceae
Description: 5.8S ribosomal RNA
Source: RNAcentral